Molecule: non-coding RNA, 636 nt
Organism: Lolium perenne
Lineage: Eukaryota; Viridiplantae; Streptophyta; Magnoliopsida; Poales; Poaceae
Source: RefSeq, a predicted model, not a curated record
AAGACUCUACAUUGCUGCUGGAAGGUGCUGCUGUGUAUAGAAAGGUGUCUAGAAUAUAUUCUACAGAUUAUAAAAUAGCACAUCCAUUGAAGAAGCAACCAACAAGCGAAAGCCUAUGAAAGAUCGCGUGAUACUACCCUCAUCAUGGGUCUCAAUAGAUUGUCCAAUUAUUGUCCAGUAUUUUCUCAAUGAAAUGUAAGUGCCACGUUCCUAAAUGACACCGCUCUCUCUACAAUCUCAGUUGUGCAUCCAAGAGUUUGUCUCCCAGCAGUCUAGGAAAUGGUUGAUGCCAACUCUAACAUUGGGGAGCCUGAUGCCCCGAUGGUGCUAAUAUAGCCAAGUGAACUUCUGAGAGCUGAUUUUGCCACACAAGGUGUUGUGGAUGAUAAGCGUUUAUGCUCGAGAACAUAAGAUUAUUCCGUAGAAGAGCAAGCAGUUUAUAGGUUGUUGAUUACACAACCAGCACCAUGUGUAUUAAUACACCAUGUAUUAAUACAUGUUGUAUUAAUGGUGAUUUACAUAGUGUUUCACCUAUCAAGAUAGUUUAUUGUUUCAUUUGAUGUUUUAUUACUAUCGAUUUCUACAAAUUGCUAUAUAUAGUGUUUUACAAACUAUUUGCCGGGACUACAAGGCAAG